UACAGAGGUCCCAAGCGUUGUUCGGAUUCAUUGGGCGUAAAGGGUGCGUAGGCGGCGCGGUAAGUCGGGUGUGAAAUCUCGGAGCUUAACUCCGAAACUGCAUUCGAUACUGCCGUGCUUGAGGACUGGAGAGGAGACUGGAAUUUACGGUGUAGCGGUGAAAUGCGUAGAUAUCGUAAGGAAGACUAGUGGCGAAGGCGGGUCUCUGGACAGUUCCUGACGCUGAGGCACGAAGGCCAGGGGAGCAAACGGG
RNAcentral lists this ribosomal RNA (253 nucleotides) under uncultured bacterium. RNAcentral's name for it is "partial 16S ribosomal RNA". It matches the Rfam family "Bacterial small subunit ribosomal RNA", at positions 524 to 776 of the family's 1533-position model. The record is from RNAcentral.